AUACGUAGGGGGCGAGCGUUGUCCGGAAUGAUUGGGCGUAAAGGGCGCGUAGGCGGCGCGGUAAGUCUGGAGUGAAAGUCCUGCUUUCAAGGUGGGAAUUGCUUUGGAUACUGCCGCGCUUGAGUGCAGGAGAGGUUAUCGGAAUUCCCGGUGUAGCGGUGAAAUGCGUAGAGAUCGGGAGGAACACCAGUGGCGAAGGCGGGUAACUGGACUGCAACGGACGCUGAGGCGCGAAAGUGUGGGGAGCAAACAGGAUUAGAUACCCUGGUAGUCCACACUGUAAACGAUGAAUGCUAGGUGUAAGAGGUAGCGACCCCUUUUGUGCCGGAGUCAACACAAUAAGCAUUCCGCCUGGGGAGUACGGCCGCAAGGUUGAAACUCAAAUGAAUUGACGGGG
This 397-nucleotide ribosomal RNA is filed under the name uncultured bacterium. RNAcentral describes it as "partial 16S ribosomal RNA". It matches the Rfam family "Bacterial small subunit ribosomal RNA", at positions 523 to 918 of the family's 1533-position model. The record is from RNAcentral.